AACCUUUAUUCGGGAUUACUGGGGCGUAAAGCGCACGCAGGCGGUCUGUCAAGUCGGAUGUGAAAUCCCCGGGCUCAACCUGGGAACUGCAUUCGAAACUGGCAGGCUGGAGUCUUGUAGAGGGGGGUAGAAUUCCAGGUGUAGCGGUGAAAUGCGUAGAGAUCUGGAGGAAUACCGGUGGCGAAGGCGGCCCCCUGGACAAAGACUGACGCUCAGGUGCGAAAGCGUGGGGAGCAAACAGGAUUAGAUACCCUGGUAGUCCACGCCGUAAACGAUGUCGAUUUGGAGGUUGUGCCCUUGAGGCGUGGCUUCCGGAGCUAACGCGUUAAAUCGACCGCCUGGGGAGUACGGCCGCAAGGUUAAAACUCAAAUGAAUUGACGGGGGCCCGCACAAGCGGUGGAGCAUGUGGUUUAAUUCGAUGCAACGCGAAGAACCUUACCUGGUCUUGACAUCCACAGAACUUUCCAGAGAUGGAUUGGUGCCUUCGGGAACUGUGAGACAGGUGCUGCAUGGCUGUCGUCAGCUCGUGUUGUGAAAUGUUGGGUUAAGUCCCGCAACGAGCGCAACCCUUAUCCUUUGUUGCCAGCGGUCCGGCCGGGAACUCAAAGGAGACUGCCAGUGAUAAACUGGAGGAAGGUGGGGAUGACGUCAAGUCAUCAUGGCCCUUACGACCAGGGCUACACACGUGCUACAAUGGCGCAUACAAAGAGAAGCGACCUCGCGAGAGCAAGCGGACCUCAUAAAGUGCGUCGUAGUCCGGAUUGGAGUCUGCAACUCGACUCCAUGAAGUCGGAAUCGCUAGUAAUCGUAGAUCAGAAUGCUACGGUGAAUACGUUCCCGGGCCUUGUACACACCGCCCGUCACACCAUGGGGAGUGGGUUGCAAAAGAAGUAGGUAGCUUAACCUUCGGGAGGGCGCUUACCACUUUGUGAUUAUGAUGGGUAC
This 946-nucleotide ribosomal RNA is filed under the name Escherichia coli. Its description in RNAcentral is "bacterial SSU rRNA". It matches the Rfam family "Bacterial small subunit ribosomal RNA", at positions 536 to 1483 of the family's 1533-position model. The record is from RNAcentral. Lineage: Bacteria; Pseudomonadati; Pseudomonadota; Gammaproteobacteria; Enterobacterales; Enterobacteriaceae.